CAGAGUAUAGCUUAAAUUAAAGCGCCUUGCUUACACCAAGCUGAUGUUUAAUAAAUCUGAACUACUCUGAG
RNAcentral lists this transfer RNA (71 nucleotides) under Pristimantis rhabdolaemus (Apurimac robber frog). Its description in RNAcentral is "tRNA-Val". Lineage: Eukaryota; Metazoa; Chordata; Amphibia; Anura; Strabomantidae. The record is from RNAcentral.